Molecule: ribosomal RNA, 1460 nt
Filed under: Gonyaulax sp.
Lineage: Eukaryota; Dinophyceae; Gonyaulacales; Gonyaulacaceae
Description: partial large subunit ribosomal RNA
Rfam family: Eukaryotic large subunit ribosomal RNA
Source: RNAcentral
ACCCGCUGAAUUUAAGCAUAUAAGUAAGCAGAGGACAGCAAACUGAAAAGGAUUCCUCUAGUAAUAGCGAAUGAACCAGGAAGAGCUCAUAGUGACACUCUGGACUUGGGUCUUGUCUUGUACUGUAUAGACGCCAUGCCAAUGGAAGUGGGCAUGUGUGCCUGGUGGGAAAGAGCAGCAUUGAAGGUGAAACUCCUUUGCAACAUGACCAUCCUUCCUUGCUUGGCUGGCACCCUUGAGUCGCGUUCUUUGGCAAUGGAUCGCAAAGGUGGUGGUAGAGUUCAUCUAGAGCUUGAUAGCGGCUUGGGUCCGAUAGCAAACAAGUACCAUGAGGGAAAUGUGAAAAGAACUUUGAAAAGAAAGUUAAAUGUACAUGAAAUUGCUGCAAACAAAGCGUAUGAUGUUUUGAGUUGCGUUACAAGAUUGGAGUGUAUUGAUACGUGUAUGCACUGCUACUUUGUAGCAACUUCUUCUGUGUUUUGCACUUUGUGUCUUGUCCGCUUCUUGGGCCAUGUUGCAUUUCCAAUUUCUGUUGCGCAUUACCUGUGGCCUGGCUUGGUUGUGCUGCACUUUAUGUUGUCGUUGCUGCUUGGCUGUGCCCAUGCCAGUGACCCUCUGUCUUGUUGGACAAGGAUGCUUGGCAACUGUGCAUGUUAAAUUUCAUACGACCCGUCUUGAAACACGGACUAAGGAGUCUAAUGCAUGUGCAAGCUUGGGGAUGUCUUUGUUUGGCUGAAUCAACAUCAAAGUUGGGAACCGUGCACCGACAGCCAAUUGAUCAUGUGAGAGAGGUUUGAGUUUGAGUGUGUGCAUUAGGACCCGAAAGAUGGUGAACUAUGCUUGGGAAGAAUAAAUUCAGGGGAAACCCUGAUGGAGGUUCGCAGCGCUAUUGACGUGCAAAUCGUUCGUCAUACUUGGGUAUAGGGGCGAAAGACUAAUCGAACCAUCUAGUAGCUGGUUCCCUCUGAAGUUUCCCUCAGGAUAGCUGGAGUUGCAUAGUUUCAUCAGGUAAAGCGAAUGACUGGAGGAAUUGGGGGCGUGAUGCCUUUGACCUAUUCUCAAACUUUAAAUGGGUAAGACUACUGGUUGUUUUGUGAACCUGUGGGGAAAUGUGAACUCUAUGUGGGCCGCUUUUGGUAAGCAGAAUUGGCGAUGAGGGGUGAACCUAACGUUAGGAUAAUGAGCUGCAGUGCCCGCUCAUUGGACACCAUAAAAGGUGUUGGUUCAUAUGAACAGCAGGACGGUGGUCAUGGAAGUCGAAAUCUGCUAAGGAAUGUGUAACAACUCACCUGCCGAAUGGACCAGCCCUGAAAAUGGAUGGCGCUCAAGCGUGCAACAGAUACCUUACCACUGUUUGUAACUCGAUGAUGUAGUGCGUAGGUGGGUGCAAUAGCUUGUAAUGAAUCUUGGGUGCAAACCGUGGUGUAAUAACUAUUGCUGCAGAUCUUGGUGGUAGUAGC